AUGGGUAAUUUGGACUAGGGAAUUUUAUGAUGAUGUGAUCUUGAUAGUAUUUUUAAUUCAGUGCAAUAUUUUUUGUGGACAUUAUCUGCUCGUUAGUCUUUUGGGACUUGCAAAAAUGAUUCAGCUCCCACAUGCAGCGAUAAAAAUUAAGAAAGCUAAGUAGCACACCGAUUUGCCAUUCCGAUUGUGACGUCCUUCAAACAAGUGCAAAUAUUACGGCCAUGGUUUUUAAGAUUUGCAGGUAUCUCGUCCCUUAAAUGAUCUAAAUGGUUAACGAUAUUCGACAUUCAAAAGGAAGAAAUGAUUUUAAGCAGUUACUCCGCAUUAUGCAAUAUAAUACUCCUGCACAUAUUGCUAGGAAGGUAAAAUAUUUCCUCCAAGCGAAAGGAGUCGGUGGCUAAUCGAGACACCACGGUCACACGAACUCAAAAUAAUCGAAAAGUUGUGGGCAACACUGGCACGACAUAUCUAAGCCAAAAAAAAAACAAUACGGAACAGCGAAUGAGAAUGACAAAGACAAUUAUUUUAUAACUAGGGUGAAAUUCUCCUUUAAUAUACAAUAUUAAGGAAAUUAUACACAAAAAAUCCAGAAAGAAUAUGUGAAGUAUUAAAUGUAAUGGAGGUUCAAUUAAAUAUUUUUGAAACAAUUAAUACAUAUAGAAUAAACGAUAAAUAUAUAUGAAUAAAUGAAUGAAAUGAAACAAUAAAUAUAUAUGCAACCCCAUUAAUUCCUUCAAGUGUGCUAAAUUUUCUAUCCAUUUAAAAAUCAUGAAAUUCGCUCUAACAGUUAAAUCUUUGAGUAAAUUCCAAUUAUGUUCAGAUAGAAAUAUGUAUUUUAGUCUACUUGCCCAAUGUUUAGAUAAUCCAUAGAUAAUUUCCAGGUGCGCUACCUUUUUAACGCGCACUAUAUGAUUAA
This is a long non-coding RNA of Hermetia illucens (black soldier fly), 916 nucleotides long. RefSeq lists it as uncharacterized. The transcript is spliced from 3 exons. The record is from RefSeq and is a predicted model, not a curated record. NCBI's taxonomy places the organism in Eukaryota, Metazoa, Arthropoda, Insecta, Diptera, Stratiomyidae.